UCGCGGGUGCACCGCCGA
RNAcentral lists this small nuclear RNA (18 nucleotides) under Arabidopsis thaliana (thale cress). RNAcentral describes it as "snRNA_07835". Lineage: Eukaryota; Viridiplantae; Streptophyta; Magnoliopsida; Brassicales; Brassicaceae. The record is from RNAcentral.